CCUACGGGGGGCAGCAGUGAGGAAUAUUGGUCAAUGGGCUUACGCCUGAACCAGCCAAGUCGCGUGAGGGAAGACUGCCCUAUGGGUUGUAAACCUCUUUUGUCAGGGAGCAACGCCGGCUACGUGUAGCCGGACUGAGAGUACCUGAAGAAAAAGCAUCGGCUAACUCCGUGCCAGCAGCCGCGGUAAUACGGAGGAUCCAAGCGUUAUCCGGAUUUAUUGGGUUUAAAGGGUGCGGAGGCGGCUUGAUAAGUUAGAGGUGAAAUACCGGUGCUCAACACCGGAACCGCCUCUAAUACUUUUGA
This 305-nucleotide ribosomal RNA is filed under the name uncultured bacterium. RNAcentral describes it as "bacterial SSU rRNA". It matches the Rfam family "Bacterial small subunit ribosomal RNA", at positions 338 to 639 of the family's 1533-position model. The record is from RNAcentral.